UACAGAGGUCCCAAGCGUUGUUCGGAUUCACUGGGCGUAAAGGGUGCGUAGGUGGUGAGGUAAGUCGGAUGUGAAAGCUCGGAGCUCAACUCCGAAAUGGCAUUGGAAACUACCUUGCUCGAGGGUUGGAGGGGGUACUGGAAUGCUUGGUGUAGCAGUGAAAUGCGUAGAUAUCAAGCGGAACACCAGUGGCGAAGGCGAGUCCCUGGACAACUCCUGACACUGAGGCACGAAAGCUAGGGGAGCAAACAGG
This 253-nucleotide ribosomal RNA is filed under the name uncultured bacterium. RNAcentral's name for it is "partial 16S ribosomal RNA". It matches the Rfam family "Bacterial small subunit ribosomal RNA", at positions 524 to 776 of the family's 1533-position model. The record is from RNAcentral.